UAUCGCCUGUCAAUCAUAUUUUCUUUUGAAUUUCUGUGUGUGUUUUUGUUGGCCAAACAAUGCAAAGAAACUGGACCAAGGUUGAAUCUCUUCAGUCAUGUAAAUCCACAAUUGAGAGUUGUAAAACAGAUUUUUAUAUGUAAAGAACAGAAAAGACUUCUUUUAGACCUAUGAGGAAAUUUCCCACCAGUGUCUAUAACCUGACAGCCAAAUUAAAUGUGGACAAACUGAGAAGAUCUACAUUUUUAGUUGCAGCUGCAUUUUGUACAUUAGCCCAGAAAGACAAGUUUAUUUGUAUAUCAAGAAGGAUCUUGCUUAGCAAUUUAAAGUAAGCUGUUACUGUUUAAGAUGUAAGUGAAGUUUAGGUGAAACAAGGAUUUCAGAAAAUGAGAAAAGUGUUGCAAGAAAACAGAAAGUGAGCCCUCAAUUAGAUAAGAAGUUGUAAUAUACUGUACCUCAGAUCUUUUGAUUUGGAAACAUUUCUUGAACUACAGUAUGUGCAGGGUGAUUAUGUGCCAUUUUGUGUUGAUACAGUCGGCAGGAACACUUCUACCUGUCUGCAGGCCUUCAUCUCCUGCUGGCUGAUUUAUAUUCAAGUUGUGUUUUACUGUGUGCCAUAUAGCCACUGAUUGUGAUGUACAGUAUGAGAGAGGAACAAGAGCAAAGAGGGAGCUUGUGUUUUUGUGUGACACAGAUAUAGAAGUGUCAGAGCAUAUGUGUGUGUGUGAGAGAGAAGACAGAUCUAACAGCAUGUGUGUACACAAGAGACAGCCAACAGAGUGUGUAUGUGUGUGUACCAGACCUCAGUGUGAUAUCAAACACAUCUCAACUUCCUCUUUUGCUUUCAUUGCAGCUCUGAAAAACACAAUAUGUCUGUCUGUCCUGCUCACAGUUAUUAAAUGAGAGCUUUAAGUUUGCACUUGUUAAGUCUUAGAACUAAGAUCAGCUUAGGUCCGUUGAAUUAAAAAGAACAAAAUUUGUGAACUAACAGCUUUGUGUUGACAAUAUGACUGUAAUAGUAAACAAAAUUCAGUUUGAGCUCAGUUUUGGGGUCACAGCAGAAACUACAGCCCAUGACUGCAGGUUAAUCACUCUGCCUUUGUGAGGCUACACUAGGCAAAGGGGUGUUUUGAGCUAAAUGCAAAAUGCUGUUUGGCACUAACAUGCUGAUGUUUAGAAGGUAUAAUGUUUACAAUGUUCACCAUCUCAGCUUAGUGUUUUAGCAUGUUAACAUAUGCUAAUUACCACUAACUACAAAUUAUAGACUAAAGCUGUGUUAUGUCCAAAGCUUAGCUGUGUUAAGUCAUAACAGCUCAUGGGAAUGUCUUUCACACUUUCACAAGACCAAAACUGAAGCUGCAAACUGUCAUUGCAUCACAAGACUCAUCUGUCUCUGUUAGCUCACAGAUGUAAAGCGAUUGUAUAGCUUGUAGGCCCUAAAGGUGAACUGUAGCACAUAAAAAUCAGUGUGCAGGCUCUAAAGAAAUUGCCACUGCAAUUUUCCUCCACAGUCAUGAGAGUGUUUAGGCCUCAAAAUGGGGUAAUGGGCCAGAAAAGGUAAAGGAAACCGAUGCCAAGGUGGUACUGGUAACACUGUCAGAGUGCUGUUCUGACAGUUGCAUUUCUUAUGGCUGGUUGCUUGUUGGUGAAUCAAAGAAACUAAAGCAUAUGCUUCUCUUGCAUUAUUUAGAAUUUGCUGAGAGCAAAAUUAGACUUGCAUGAAAAAUGUCACUUGCUCUAGAAAAAAUGUUUAUUCACCAGAAUUUCCAAUAUGGCUGCAACAAAAGACAUAACAACUGGACUUCCAUUGUGGGUUUAAAAGUGUCAGAUGUAUGUGGAGUUUUAGAGACGAGCGGAAGCUAAUGUCGCCAAACAGUGUUAAUAUGCAGCGCUUAUUGUUACUGUUGAUCCCAGUACAGUGCUUUUCACUGCAUGUGUGUGUGAGUGUGCGAGAGAGAGAGAGAGAAAAUGAGAGAGAACAUUGUGGGGCCAAGCAUAGGCCUGAGCACAGGAUGUUGUAUAUAUGUCUCUGUGCGUGUGUGUGUGUGUUGGCUCGCCAUUCUAUCUCCAAGAUAGUGCUGUUGGAACACAAUGAAGCCCAUUCAACUCAACUCCUGUCUCUAGAAUACUGCUGUAUCACAGCUGCUCCUGAUGGGGUGGGCGUGUGUGUGUGUGUGUGUGUAUCUAUGAAUCUCAUACACACAAACACACCUACACAUAAUCCUCAAUAAAGCCAUCUUUGAAUUGUCAUUACGUUGAUGUAAUACCAUCAUGAGCAAAUGUGGCGGAGGAAUGGCUUGUCAGCCUGUAAAUUAUAAUAACUACAGACCUUUAUCAUGCAAUGUCAGUGCACCGUGAUGUGCUUUAUGAGGGGUGUUCAUCAUGUUGCAUGUUAAACUCAUACAGGGCAACCUAAUGGUCCUUAAAGCUCAUCAGAGAUGGAUAAUAAUACAUAAAUACCCAUUUUGAUAUAUUAAAAACACAAUAUAGAUAUGAAAACAUGUCCAGCCGCAGUGAUAUAGUUGUAAUCCCCCGUGACAAUAUGACAUAUGGCUACAUUAUUUUCUAUGAGUAUAUUACAUGUUGUAGGUACUGUAAGUUAAUGAGCAGAGCCAGGCUUUUCACAGACUUGCAUGAGGAAAAGACAAUACACUGCUCAACACUUGACUGAUAAGCAUGAAAGAACAAGAGUUUACAAAAGGUUGUAACCCAGAAAGUCAACAUAUUUAUUUCAAGACUGAGCUGUAGGUGUAUGUGAGAUAACUGUUGGGUUGUAGGACUGUAAGGCACCAGUCGUAUUUAUCACCGCUCUCCACCUGGAGUGUCGGCCAGAACACGACUUAACGAUGGGAUGCACUUUCUGCAGUACAAGCAAGGGGCAUGAACUUCACACAAUGCGGACCUUUUAACCAGAGAAUCUGCGGUGAUGACAUCACCAUUGACCUUGACCCGAUCGCUAUCUCACUGACUCAACUAAGGAACACAAAGGAACAGCUGAAGAGAGGCAGGAAAUGUGGGAGAGAGAGGGGGAAUGACAUGCAGUAAAGGGCUGUGGAUUGGAUUCAAACCCAGGCCGCUGCGGUAAGGCCUUACCCCACUUUACCAGGUGAGCUUCUGGGGCGCCCCGCAAUAAUAAAUUAUUAAUCAAUACAUAUUUACUUGGGAUUAAAAGAAGCUUUUCUUUUGUAUUUCUCUUUAAUUUUAUUAGCCAUAUUACAUAGUUCCUCCGAGAAAAUGUCUUUAAUAAUAAUAAUAAUAAUAAUAAUAAUAUGAAAUUGUUAAAAAAUUAGGGACCUGUAAAAUAAAGUGUUGCCUAAAAAUAUAAAAACUACUCCUCUCAAAAAGGUAUUCUGACAGCGUGACUAUGCCAUGUAUUCAUUUUCCUUCAAAGACCUAUUAUGUUUGGGUCUCAGAUUUCUGCCACAGCAAUGACUCAGUAACAGAUAUUAACCUUCUGUCAUGGUACAGCUAUACCACUCCUAGUGUCU
Molecule: long non-coding RNA, 3488 nt
Organism: Siniperca chuatsi (mandarin fish)
Lineage: Eukaryota; Metazoa; Chordata; Actinopteri; Centrarchiformes; Sinipercidae
Exons: 2
Source: RefSeq, a predicted model, not a curated record